GACGAACGCUGGCGGCGUGCCUAAUACAUGCAAGUCGAGCGAAUGGAUUAAGAGCUUGCUCUUAUGAAGUUAGCGGCGGACGGGUGAGUAACACGUGGGUAACCUGCCCAUAAGACUGGGAUAACUCCGGGAAACCGGGGCUAAUACCGGAUAACAUUUUGCACCGCAUGGUUCGAAAUUGAAAGGCGGCUUCGGCUGUCACUUAUGGAUGGACCCGCGUCGCAUUAGCUAGUUGGUGAGGUAACGGCUCACCAAGGCAACGAUGCGUAGCCGACCGGGGAGGGUGUACGACCACCCUGGGCACGAGACACGGCCCAGCCUCCGACGGGAGGCAGCAGUAGGGGAUCUUCCGCAAUGGACGAAAGUCUGACGGAGCUACGCCGCGUGAGUGAUGAAGGCUUUCGGGUCGUAAGACUCUGUUGUUAGGGAAGAACAAGUGCUAGUUGAAUAAGCUGGCACCUUGACGGUACCUAACCAGAAAGCCACGGCUAACUACGUGCCAGCAGCCGCCGCGG
This 515-nucleotide ribosomal RNA is filed under the name uncultured bacterium. Its description in RNAcentral is "partial 16S ribosomal RNA". It matches the Rfam family "Bacterial small subunit ribosomal RNA", at positions 28 to 523 of the family's 1533-position model. The record is from RNAcentral.